This 537-nucleotide ribosomal RNA is filed under the name Trigonopterus sp. 141 AR-2022a. Its description in RNAcentral is "partial large subunit ribosomal RNA". The record is from RNAcentral. Lineage: Eukaryota; Metazoa; Arthropoda; Insecta; Coleoptera; Curculionidae.
GGCCUGUUGAGUAUAAUUUUAGGUCUGACCUGCCCGCUGAGUAAUUAAAUGGCCGCGGUAUAUUGACCGUGCAAAGGUAGCAUAAUCAUUAGUUUUUUAAUUGAAAGCUUGUAUGAAAGGUUUGAUGAAAAAAAGUCUGUCUCUGUAAAAUUUUAUUAGAAUUUUAUUUUUAAGUUAAAAAGCUUAAAUUUAAAUAGAAGACGAGAAGACCCUAUAGAGUUUUAUAUUUAAAUAAAAUAAUUAGAUUAAAGGAAUCGCUAAUUUUGAUUUUGUUUAUUUAUUUUGUUGGGGUGAUAGAAAAAAUAAUUAAACUUUUUUUAUAUGGAAACAUUUAUUUAUGAGUGAAUGAUCCUGAGUUUUGGAUUAUAAGAUUAAAUUACCUUAGGGAUAACAGCGUGAUUUUUUUUAGAGUUCUUAUCGAAAAGAAAGAUUGCGACCUCGAUGUUGGAUUAAAAUUUAAUAUUGGUGUAGAAGCUAGUAUGUUAGGUCUGUUCGACCUUUAAAAUUUUACAUGAUCUGAGUUUARACCGGCGUGAG